This is a long non-coding RNA of Solanum tuberosum (potato), 7059 nucleotides long. RefSeq lists it as uncharacterized. The record is from RefSeq and is a predicted model, not a curated record. NCBI's taxonomy places the organism in Eukaryota, Viridiplantae, Streptophyta, Magnoliopsida, Solanales, Solanaceae. The transcript is spliced from 23 exons.
AUUCUACCCUUUUUAGCCCAGCUCAAUUCCAGCAGCAAUACGCGUACAUCGACGUUCUUCUUCCUCCUUUCAAUUCCGUUGAGAAUUGGUACGAAAAUGGAGCCAGCACAAGAGUUUCAAUUUCAAAUCCUUAACCGUUUUCCUUUUCAAUUCCAUUCUCUUCCUAUAUAUACUUUCCUUCCUUCAGCGUUCUGGAGAGGUUUUUUGGACACUACCUUACAGAGGGAGUUUCCAUCAAAAGAAAGAGGUUGGAGAGACAAGAAACAGGAACAAAAAUUUACAAGAAAAUUAUACAUGCAACAGAGAAGAAAAUUAAAGAAAAUAGUAUUCCAUUAGCUAGGUGGUUUGAGUCUUUUGUUGUUGGAUUCGAGCUCUCGUCGGAAUUCCUCUUGUGGUGGAGGAAUAGCUCGCUUCAUCUCGUCCACAAAAGUAGACGCCAGAAGCUGAUAUGACGGGUGAACUAGAGAUGAGGGAAGGCGAAUCAUCUUCUUCCUGCCUCCUAUGAAAUUACAUCAAGAAAAAGCUUUCCUAUGUGGCUCUUGACUAUGAACAGGAGAUUGAAACUGGCAAAAGCAGCUCCUCCACUGAAAAGAACUAUGAAUUGCCUGAAGAACAAGUUAUUACCAUUGGUGCUGAGAGGUUCUACUGCCUAGAGGCCCUCUUCCAGCCAUCUAUGAUUGGUAUGGAAGUUGCAGGUAUCCAUGAGACUACCUACAACUCCAUUCAUUAUCCUUGUGAAAUAGCUAAAAAAAAAAGGAACGUAGAGAAGAAUAUCCAUAUAAUAAAGCUUUCCCAACUGGUGAACGAUCCUUCCCGUGCGGUGAUCAUGGAUAAGACAGUCAGAAGAAGAAAAGAUUACACGAAGAUGGUUAGCUGCAACGUGACUGAGGAUGAAAAUGGAAUCUAUCAUGAAGAAUUCGGGAUGAAGACAUAGACACACAGUGUGAGAGCUCCCAGACAACCACACAGGGCAAUACUUGAUAUAGAGGCUUCAGAUAUACAUUUGCAGGGUGUUUAUCGUAUGAGCAAGGAAAUCACUGUCUUCACUCCUAGCAGCAUGAAGACUAAGGUUGUUUCUCCACUAGAGAGGCGAGUACGACAACUCUGGUCCAUCCAUUGUCCACAGGAAGUGUUUUUAAGGUGUUUUGAACUAUAAAUGGCUUUCUAAACCAAUUCGAAUGAUCAAGAAAUGGCACCUGAAAUUGAGGAGGAAGAUUAUUUUUGAUGAGAGCAGGUUCCUACCGAUUUGCACGAAAAAGAAAUGGAGAGUUGAUUUAGGAUAUUUGAAGAAAGCAAAUAAAUUUGAGGCAAAAAGAGGUCAAGAGCUGAAAAUACAAUUUUUGGCAGGGAAAGUAUCCUUCGCGAAUGGGCUUGAAUAAACUAAGUGAACUGUAUCUGACUGUUUGAAUGUCUUCAUUUAGGGGAAGAAAUUUGCUAAACCUGCACUCAGAUCAUGCAUAUGCAUUGAGGAGUUUGAAUAAAAGUUGAAUAAAUUCGACAUUAAGAGGAAUGAACAAGAACUUACUGCCAAAAAUGCCCAAAGCCAUCAACAAAAAGUGGAGAACUUGGAGGGCAUCAUGGUUACUGAAAAAGAAGAAGAGGAAAUUGAUGAAUCUGAAAUUACUUAAGUAACUUCGUUUUCUUAGUCAUGCAACAAAUUUUGAAGUCACGAAUCCAUCAAUGGAAGUGCAAACAGAAUGUUCACAUUCGGAACCAGGAUGUGCUGAGUCGGACCAGAGGUUCCUUGCAAUAUUCAACAUCCUGUGUGGAGGAGCAUGAUGUGUUCGAUCUUGUGUAUUCUUUAGUGAAGGAGUUUGCUUGCCUUAUUCCUGGCUGUAAGCUUAAUCUUGUGGAGUCACUUAGGCGUUGUGUUAAGAGUUAGCAUCUAAGAUAAGAUUCAUUGGAGUUUACCGGAAUAAAUGAGGGAGGACUUCUAGGGAACGACUUGCUCUAUGGAUAUGUUGGUAUCUCAUAUUGAGAAGUAGUUUAUUUGCUAUUGGCUAUCAACAACUCUCAUACAAAUAUGCAACUAACCACUAAUUCCAGCUUGAUAUGCAACACAGAAGAAAAUUAAAGAAAAUAGUAUUCCUAUGGCUAGGAGGUUUGAGUCUUUUGUUGCUGGAUUUGAGCUCUUGUCAGAAUUCCAGUUGUGGUGGAGGAAUAGUUCGAUUCAACUCGACGUCCCAGUUUCUCUGUGGUCCACAAAAGGUGUUUUGAACUAUAAAUGGCUUUCUAAACCAAUUCGGAUGAUCAAGAAAUGGCACCGAAAAUUGAGAAGGAUGAUUAUUUUUUAUGAGAGCUGGUUCCUACCGGUAAAAUGUCCCCGAAAAUAUGAUGAGAACUUGACCCGAAAUUAACACGAAAAAGAAAUGGAGAGUUGAUUUAGGAUAUUUGAAGAAAGUAAAUAAACUUGAGGCUAAAAGAGGUCAAGAGCUGAAAAUACAAUUUUUGGUAAGGAAAGUAUCCUUCGCGAACGGGUUUGAAUAAACUAAGUGAACUGUAUCAGCCUGUUUGGAUGGCUUCAUUUAGGGGAAGAAGUUUGCUAAACCUGCACUCAAAUCAUGCAUUGAGGAGAAAAGUUGAAUAAAUUCGACAUUGAGAGGAAGGAACAAGAACUUACCGCCAAAAUGCCCAAAGCCAUCAACAAAAAGUGGAGAACUUGGAGAGCAUCACGGUGACUGAAAAAAGAAGAAGAGGAAAUCGAUGAAUAUGAAAUUACUUAAGUAACUUCGUUUUCUUAGUCAAGCAACACAUUUUAAAGUCACGAAUCCAUCAAUGGAAGUGCAAACAUAAUGUUCACAUUCGGAACCAGGAUGUGCUGAGUCCGACUAGAGGUUCCUUGCAACAUCCUACAUCCUGUUUUGAGGAGCAGGAUAUGUUCGAUCUUGUGUAUUCUUUAGUGAAGGAGUUUGCUUGCCUUAUUCCUGGCUGUAAGGUUAUUCUUGUGGAGUCACUUAGGCGUCGUGUUAAGAGUUAGCAUCUAAGGUAAGUUUUCUCCCCUCUUUUCUACUCAAUCUUGGGUAAGUAUAUUUGAAAUGGUCUCGUUGACAUGUGUUAAUCAGUGCUUGAAUUGUUGGGCUGUUUCUGUUUGUGUGGGGAUUAAUUAAGUUGAUGGCUAGAUAGUUCAUGAGUUUUAGUUGAGAUUGGGGGAACAACUUGAGUGAAAAUUGUUCCUAAAAAAGCUGCCCCCAACAUGUUUGAUGAAAUGCCCCAACCAGAUUUUGAAUUCAGGAGAAGAUGACUCUGUGAACGCACCAAAUAGUUAGCAAAAGACUAGCUUCAAUUUAUUGAUUUUAUUGGUGAGGAGAUUGUUGUCGGGGAUGUCAUAUAUGUCGGUUCUGACCGGCUUCUGUCGCAGGUUGUUUCAAAAGCCGGGAUUGGGUUAGGUUGGUAUCUCUUUAAUUGAUGUAACUUUGUUUCAAUUAGCUUACUAGAAUCUUGAUUGUCAUCUUAUUUGUACAGGCGAGUAGAUAGCUAUUACGGUUUUAGUUGGUUUUAAGUGCGAGAUUUUUAUUUAAUUUGUUAAAAUCAUGAGUUUGAGGUUAAUUUUGUUCCAUAUGUCUUCAUUCUUGCUACUUUGUUUUUCUUCUCUUUUAUAAGGGCUUCUUCAUUUGCAUGUCUUUCCUUUUUAUCUUACCAGGCCAAAUAUGUGACUUUCUGUAAGUUUACCUUUUUUUAAUAGGAUGUUGCUACUGUUCAACUCUGUUUGUACUUAAAUAGAAAUUAUAGAAUUAUCUCAUCGACUAUAAACCAUUAACAUGGAAGUUUUUGAUUAUUCUUCAAAUGCACAUAGGAUUCAUUGGAAUUUACUGGGAUAAAUGAGCGAGGACUUCUAGGGAAUGACUUGCUCUAUGUAUAUUUUGGUAUCUCAUACUGAGAAAUAGUUUAUUAGCUUUUGGCUAUCAACAACUCUCAUGCAAAUAUGCAACUAACCACUAAUUCCAGCUUGACAUGUGAGGAGAUAGUUGCCGGGGAUGUCAUAUAUGGCGGUUCUGACUGGCUGCUAUCACAAGUUGUUCCAAAAGCUGGGAUUGGGUGAAGUUGGUUUAUUAGCUUUUGGCUAUCCACAACUCUCAUGCAAAUAUGCAACUAACCACUAAUUCCAGCUUGACAUCAUUUUGGAGAGGUUUUUGGCACACUAAUUUACUACCCAAAACAGAGGGGAUUCCCAUCCAAAGAAAGUGGUUGGAGAGACAAGAUACAGGAACAUAAAUUUACAAAAAAAUAAACAGGCAACACAGAAGAAAAUAGUAGUCCUAUGGCUAGGAGGUUUGAGUCUUUUGUUGCUGGAUUCGAGCUUUUGUCAGAAAUCCACUUGUGGUGGAGGAAUAGCUCGAUUCAACUCAUCAUCCCAGCUUCGCUGUGGUCCACAAAAGGGGAAGAAGUUUGCUAAACCUGAACUCAAAUCAUGCAUUGAGGAGUUUGAAGAAAAGUUGAAUAAAUUCGACAUUGAGAGGAAGGAACAAGAACUUACAGCCAGAAAACUCUCAAAGCCAUCAACAGAAAGUGGAGAACUUGGAGAGCAUCACGGUGACUAAAAAAGAAGAAGAGGAAAUCGAUGAAUCUGAAAUUACUCAAGAUAAAGCUUUUGGCUAUCAACAAUUCUCAUGCAAAUAUGCAACUAACCACUAAUUCCAGCUUGAUAUGUCUCCAGCAUAUCCUUAAUGGCUGUUCUGACCGGCUGUUGUCACAAAUUGUUCCAAAAGUCGGGAUUGGGUUAAGUUGGUGUUUUGAACUAUAAAUGGAUUUCUAAACCAAUUCGAAUGAUCAAGAAAUGGCAUCGUAAAUUGAGGAGGAUGAUUAUUUUUUAUGAGAGUUGGUUCCUACCGGUAAAAUGUGCCAAAAAAUAUGAUGAGUACUUGGCCCGAAGUGAGAACACGGUUUCAUUUUCAAUUGGGAAUGCCUUCAUUUUCUUCAUUUUGUUGAUUAUUUCGGCAUACUACGAUUGUGCCCUUGACGGACGUACUUUUUUUUCUUUGUUAUGGAUUGGUGUGCCCUUGUCGAACUUUGAUAUCGUGGAUACUUCUGUUGAUAUUGUGUUAGAUUGGUCUGUUUUAGUUUGUGAUUUGUAGUUUGUAGCUUCUUUAUUUUUGGUUUGUUAAUAAGAUUUGCAUUGACGAUGCCUUAUGAUGGAUAGAGAGCAACGACUUUCUUCAGGGUAAAUUGUCGAUUGCUUGUGAGUGUUUGAUUGGCGUUGAUUGUAGCGAAGUCUGAAUAGCCGUUCCCGAAUAGAUUGAGGUUGCUUGAUGAUGGAUUAGUUGACAACUCUCUUAAGGGAAUAAUCGUCGUAUUUUUGGGAAGGUUUUAACUUGGUUGGUACUACGAGCAUAGUCAUGCAUGUGAAUAGUGUUGAGCAUAGCUCUCCAUUUUUAAAAGGUUGAGCAUGUUGUGAAUGAUUUUGUGACAACUCUUACAACUCUUUUUAUGACUUUUGAUUUGUUAGCGGUUAAAAUGUUCAAUGCUACUUGAAUUCGAAAUAAGAUUUUGAACCAUCUUAUUUCUCUCUUUUUUUAUUUGUUUUGUUCCCCUGUUAAAGGUCUCCAGCAUAUCCUUAAUGCUGAGAAAUAUAACAUUAACAGUUUCAAAAAAAAAAUUGAACAAUGCUAAAUAUUUUUAAGUCCUAAAUUACCCACAUAAACACCCAGCGAACCCAACGACCUCUUAGUCUAGCUGUGUCGUCCUCGUAGAAGAUCGUUUCGAGAAUCAUCCUAGUGUCCAAAUCAUAUGGCCCUUCUUUCAAUUAUGUUGAGAAUUAGUACGAAAUAGAGCCAGCACAAGAGUUUGAAUUUCGAAUUUGAAAUACUUCAAAACCUUAUCCGUUUUCCCCCAAUCUUUUCAAUUCCAUUCUUUUCCUAUAUAUACUUCCCUUCCUUCAUCGUUUUGGAGAGGUUUUUUGGACACUAAUUUACUACCCAAAACAGAGCGAAUUUCCAUUGAAAGAAAGAGGUUGGUUAGAGAAGAAACAGGAACUGAAAUUUAUAAAAAAAAGAUACAGACAACAGAAGAAAUUUAAAGAAAAUAGUGUUCCUAUAGCUAGGAGAUUUGAGUCUUUUGUUGCUGAAUUAGAGUUCUUGUCAGAAUUGCUCUUGUGGUGGAGUAUCAUUGCCUUAUUCCUCGCUAUAAGCUCAAUCUUGUGGAAUCACUUAGGCGUCAUGUUAAGAGUUGCAUCUAAGGUAAGUUUUCUCCCCUCCUUUCAACUCAAUCUUGGGUAAGUAUUUUUGAAAUGGUCUCGUUGAUAUGUGUUAAUCACUGCUUAAAUUGUUGGACUCUAUUUGUUUGUGUGCGGAUUAAUUAAGUUGAGGGAUAUAUAGUUCAUGAGUUUUGGUAGAGAUUGGGGGCACAACUUGUGUGAAAAUUGUGCCUAAAACGGCUGUCCCCAACAUGUUUGUUGAAAUGCCCCAACCGUAUUUUGAAUUCAGGAGAAGAUGACUCCGCGAACGUUCCCUCUUGGCCGCGAACUCGGAGGAAUCUGAUCCCAGAUUCUCCGCGAAUGCGCCCAAUAGUUUGCAAAUGAGUUGAUUUUAGCAAAAGAUAGUUAGCAAAAGAAUAGCUUCAAUUUGUUGAUUGUAUAGGUGAGGAGAUAGUUGUCGGGGAUGUCAUAUAUGGCGGUUCUGACCGGCUGUUGUCACAAGUUGUUCCAAAAGUCGGGAUUGGGUUAAGUUGGAUUCAUUGGAGUUUACCGGGAUAAAUGAGGGAGGACUUCUAGGGAAGACUUGCUCUAUGGAUAUUUUGGUAUCUCAUACUGAGAAAUAGUAAGAAAUGAACUCUAACAUAUAUCAUAAUGUAUUCUCCUGAUUGUUGAACUCCUGGCACAAUUUGAUGUAUCUUCAUAGUAAUCCUUGAUUUCUGUAGGUUUAUUUUCUUUUGGCUAUCAACAAUUCUCGUACAAAUAUGCAACUAACCACUAAUUCCAGCUUGACAUCAUUUUGAAGAGGUUUUUGGCACACUAAUUUACUACCCAAAACAGAGGGGAUUCCCAUCCAAAGAAAGAGGUUGGAGAGACAAGAAACAUGAACAGAUAUUUACAAAAAAAUAUACAGGCAAUAUAAAUGAAAAUUA